AACGAACGCUGGCGGCAUGCCUAACACAUGCAAGUCGAACGAGACCUUCGGGUCUAGUGGCGCACGGGUGCGUAACGCGUGGGAACCUGCCCUUAGGUUCGGAAUAACUCCCCGAAAGGGGUGCUAAUACCGGAUAAUGUCUUCGGACCAAAGAUUUAUCGCCUUUGGAUGGGCCCGCGUUGGAUUAGCUAGUUGGUAGGGUAAAAGCCUACCAAGGCGACGAUCCAUAGCUGGUCUGAGAGGAUGAUCAGCCACACUGGGACUGAGACACGGCCCUGACUCCUACGGGAGGCAGCAGUGGGGAAUAUUGGACAAUGGGCGAAGGCCUGAUCCAGCAAUGCCGCGUGAGUGAUGAAGGCCUUAGGGUUGUAAAGCUCUUUUACCCGGGAUGAUAAUGACAGUACCGGGAGAAUAAGCUCCGGCUAACUCCGUG
This 433-nucleotide ribosomal RNA is filed under the name uncultured bacterium. RNAcentral's name for it is "partial 16S ribosomal RNA". It matches the Rfam family "Bacterial small subunit ribosomal RNA", at positions 29 to 507 of the family's 1533-position model. The record is from RNAcentral.